RNAcentral lists this ribosomal RNA (492 nucleotides) under uncultured bacterium. Its description in RNAcentral is "partial 16S ribosomal RNA". It matches the Rfam family "Bacterial small subunit ribosomal RNA", at positions 29 to 507 of the family's 1533-position model. The record is from RNAcentral.
AGUGAACGCUGGCGGUAGGCCUAACACAUGCAAGUCGAACGGCAGCACAGUAAGAGCUUGCUCUUACGGGUGGCGAGUGGCGGACGGGUGAGGAAUACAUCGGAAUCUACUUUUUCGUGGGGGAUAACGUAGGGAAACUUACGCUAAUACCGCAUACGACCUACGGGUGAAAGCAGGGGAUCUUCGGACCUUGCGCGAUUGAAUGAGCCGAUGUCGGAUUAGCUAGUUGGCUGGGUAAAGGCCCACCAAGGCGACGAUCCGUAGCUGGUCUGAGAGGAUGAACAGCCACACUGGAACUGAGACACGGUCCAGACUCCUUCGGGAGGCAGCAGUGGGGAAUAUUGGAGAAUGGGCGCAAGCCUGAUCCAGCCAUCCCGCGUGGGUGAAGAAGGCCUUCGGGAUGUAAAGCCCUUUUGUUGGGAAAGAAAAGCAGGAGGUUAAUACCGCGCUGUUCUGACGGUACCCAAAGAAUAAGCACCGGCUAACUUCGUG